This 903-nucleotide long non-coding RNA is filed under the name Callithrix jacchus (white-tufted-ear marmoset). RNAcentral's name for it is "lncRNA (ENSCJAG00000082082.1)". Lineage: Eukaryota; Metazoa; Chordata; Mammalia; Primates; Cebidae. The record is from RNAcentral.
GCCUUUCAGAGGUGAUUAGGCCGUGAGGACUCUUCCCUUGCAAAUGGGAUUAAGGUCCUUAUAAAAGAGGCUUCACACAGAAUUCAGUCUCUUGCUUGUCUGACUUCUGCCACGUGAGGAUACAGCAUUUGUCCUUUCCAGAGGAGGCAGCUCUCACAAGACAACCGAACCUGUAGCACCUGUAUCUUGGACUUUUCAUCUUUCAGAACUAUGGGAAAUGAAUUUCUGCUCUUUAUUAAUUACGUCAUCUGCGGUAUUCUGUUACAGCUGCACAAAAUGCACUAAGAUGUGGACACGACUAACAAGUUGUAUGGAAAGGGUAUCCCGCGGUAGGCAGGUACCACAGAUCUGACACACUGGGUGCAUGUCAGAGAUCCACAUGAUUUAAAGCAGGAAACCACGCCUGAUCUUUUCAAGGUCUUAGGUUCAGCAGCUACUUUUCAUUAGAGCUGUCACAUUUUGGAUGGCAGCACCCCAAGAUGGAAGGAGCUUGGAUCCCCAAGUCAUCAUAUAGAGGAGAGGCUCUGCAGCAAGCUUCCUGCUGUGCAUUGGACUGUGAGACAUGUGGGAUGUGCCUGCUUCCCUUUCUCCUUCCACCAUGAUUGUAAGUUUCCUGCGGCCUCCCCGGCCAUGCUUCCUGUACAGCCUGCAGAACUGCACUGUAGCAGAGCUAUAAACCAGAUGAGCAAAAUCGAUUCCUCGUGGAGCUCAGGGUCUAGUAAGCAAGUAACAAAUAAAUAAUAUCAUGGUAAGUAGUGGUAGUGGUCAUUGUGAUAGAGAAAAAUAGCAGAGCAAGGGGAUAAGGAGGGAUGGGGGCUGGUAAGGAGAUGAUACUUGAGCACAGAAGGAAGGAACGAUGAGUGUCCCAGGAGAAGAAAAGCGAGGACAAACCCCUGAGAGGAG